This is a non-coding RNA of Podarcis lilfordi (Lilford's wall lizard), 71 nucleotides long. Lineage: Eukaryota; Metazoa; Chordata; Lepidosauria; Squamata; Lacertidae. The record is from the annotation of a GenBank genome assembly.
GGGCCAUAGCUCAGUGGUAGAGUAUCUGCACUGCAUGCAGAAGGUCUCAGGCUCAAUUCAUGACAUCUCCA